UCUAAUACCGGAUAACACUCCCGCCUGCAUGGGCGGGGGUUGAAAGCUCCGGCGGUGAAGGAUGAGCCCGCAGCCUAUCAGCUUGUUGGUGGGGUAAUGGCCUACCAAGGCGACGACGGG
Molecule: ribosomal RNA, 120 nt
Filed under: Streptomyces candidus
Lineage: Bacteria; Bacillati; Actinomycetota; Actinomycetes; Kitasatosporales; Streptomycetaceae
Description: partial 16S rRNA
Rfam family: Bacterial small subunit ribosomal RNA
Source: RNAcentral